This 222-nucleotide ribosomal RNA is filed under the name uncultured bacterium. Its description in RNAcentral is "partial 16S ribosomal RNA". It matches the Rfam family "Bacterial small subunit ribosomal RNA", at positions 1279 to 1500 of the family's 1533-position model. The record is from RNAcentral.
UAAACGUACUCAGUUCGGACUGUGGUCUGCAACCCGACCACACGAAGCUGGAAUCGCUAGUAAUCGUGAAUCAGAAUGUCACGGUGAAUACGUUCCCGGGUCUUGUACACACCGCCCGUCACACCAUGGGAGUCAGCAACGCCCGAAGUCAGUGACCUAACCGAGAGGGAGGAGCUGCCGAAGGCGGGGCCGGUAACUGGGGUGAAGUCGUAACAAGGUAGC